AUUGAACGCUGGCGGCAGGCCUAACACAUGCAAGUCGAACGGUAACAGGAAGAAGCUUGCUUCUUUGCUGACGAGUGGCGGACGGGUGAGUAAUGUCUGGGAAACUGCCUGAUGGAGGGGGAUAACUACUGGAAACGGUAGCUAAUACCGCAUAAUGUCGCAAGACCAAAGAGGGGGACCUUCGGGCCUCUUGCCAUCGGAUGUGCCCAGAUGGGAUUAGCUAGUAGGUGGGGUAACGGCUCACCUAGGCGACGAUCCCUAGCUGGUCUGAGAGGAUGACCAGCCACACUGGAACUGAGACACGGUCCAGACUCCUACGGGAGGCAGCAGUGGGGAAUAUUGCACAAUGGGCGCAAGCCUGAUGCAGCUAUGCCGCGUGUAUGAAGAAGGCCUUCGGGUUGUAAAGUACUUUCAGCGGGGAGGAAGGGAGUAAAGUUAAUACCUCUGCUCAUUGACGUUACCCGCAGAAGAAGCACCGGCUAACUCCGUG
Molecule: ribosomal RNA, 490 nt
Filed under: uncultured bacterium
Lineage: Bacteria
Description: partial 16S ribosomal RNA
Rfam family: Bacterial small subunit ribosomal RNA
Source: RNAcentral